UAUUUUAUUGUUGCAAGUAAACAACAAAGGAGAAGGGAGGGGCAUGCCAUCCCAACCCCCAGGCAGUACAGAGUGUGAUUAUACAACUAAGGAUACAUGUGGAAGUAGCACCAGGAAACUAAAAAGAUACAGUGGUAGGGGACAAGUGCUAAAAAAAAAUAAAGGCCUUUAUUUAGUCAUGUUUCCUUCUUUAGUUUCCGUGCACUGUUAGUAACACGUAGAAUCAUCCUCGGCUGGCAACGAGUGAACACGUGAACAGCACACACUUGAGCCCAGAUUAGUUUUUUUAUCAUCUUUAUCUUCAUGGUAUGCAUUAAGGGAGAGAGACAGUGUGUAGCUGCAGGAGUGACGAUACAGCAGCAGGUGACUUGCCUCAAACAGUCAAACUCUACCUAGUGUCCCGCUCCCAUCCCUCCACACCGCACCCCUUGGCCCUCCUCUGUCUGCCCUUGAAGUACUGCGGCCUCUAUACAUUAUAUUUCUUACGGUUUCUCUACGAACACAUUCACUGACCAGCUUGAAAGAUCGGAUAAACAGCCGGGUGAGCUGCAUGCUAAUUGCCUGGGCCGGGAUUUGAACUCUGGCCUGCAGAUUCAUAGCUAGAAUGGUUCCUUAACCUUGGAUGUGAUAUUCCAUCAUGGGCGGAAGAAAGAAAAAAAAUAAGAGGAAAGGUAAUUGUUGUUGAGUACCAGUAAAAGGUGUUUGGAAAAAAAAAAAUGAUCCCAACAUGUCAUGUAUCACUGCAACUAAUUUGGCAGGAUGUAUACCACGAAAACAUACUGUAAAUUUCAAAACUUCAAGAAAAUUUCAAGGCCAUGUCUCCCAGCAAUGCCAGAGAUCAGAGACAAAACAGAUUAGACUUGUUGAAAACUAUAACCUGCAGAAUUACUUGAGUUAUGGAACUUUUUGACUGGACUAAAUCAUCCAAGGGAAAGAAAGAAUUAGAAAUAAUAUAUAGUACUAGGUCCAUUUUGGGGAUUAAUUGGUACUGUAAAAAGUGUUGCCGAAAUUAAAGUCACCAAAAUUGUGACAUUGCUUUAUAUCUAAUUUAUUCUGAGCUCAAACUAUUCCUCUUUCUUUGUUAUACAAUGAUCAAAACAGUGCUUUCAGUUAUUAUUUAUAUAAUGAUUAAUGACUACUAUACAUAGAAAACAUUAACCUCCACUCGUAUGAAGGCGCUCUUGUUCAGUGUCCUGAGUGAAAUGGAGAGAAUAUGGUCUCAAGGAGAGGAGUGAGGGGCAGAUUGCUAAUUUCUUAAUGAAAAUUAAACAACACAAGUUUAAAAUCUUAUGGCAACACUGCACUCCCAUGGCUGCUCUGGUGCUGCUAGGAUAGGGUGGAGGAAAUUUCUCCUAGUCAGUCAUGUUACCCAUUACUUUUCUUAACCUUCAUUCAAUAAGGAGCAAUAGCUAAAGCUGCACAUGGCCUUGGUGCUGAUCUCCAUCACAUCGGCCCUUGAGUCUGGUGGAUAAUAAGUUAAUAACCUAGUGCCUCUGGACACAGGACCAGUGUGACAUUCGGUUACCACAGUAUACCUUUGCUGGGUUUCCCCAGGUACCUAUUUUUUGACCAGUUCGAAAGGCACAAUGAACUGCUGGGUGGGCUGCGCUCUGACUGCCUGGGCUGGGAUUCAAACCCAGGCCCAUGGAUUCAUAGCUAGGUGUGCUAACUACUACGUAUACCCUGGAGACUCAUCCAGCACCAUGUAGCAAAAGCAUCGUGACUGAACAAAUUAAAGGACCAUAAAGGAAAAGCUCCAGUCAACUGCAGUUCAUGAUCCUCUGAUCAUACUUCAUGGGAUCAUGAACUGCAAUUGAUUGGAGAUUCUUGUUUAGCCCAUCACUUUGUCCAGUCAUGGAGAUUUUGCUGCAAUGGCUCAGGAUGCUUACAUGUCAUGCAUUUGGCCUUGGCUAGCUAAUGGCAAUGGACAGACCCAGUUAACCGAAUUUGUUUAUGCCUGUC
This is a long non-coding RNA of Eriocheir sinensis (Chinese mitten crab), 1962 nucleotides long. RefSeq lists it as uncharacterized. The transcript is spliced from 3 exons. Lineage: Eukaryota; Metazoa; Arthropoda; Malacostraca; Decapoda; Varunidae. The record is from RefSeq and is a predicted model, not a curated record.